GUCAUUUUGAGGUGCAGUUCCUAGAUUUAUUACUUUCUUCUCUCUCUAUCUGCUCAUCGAGAGACCACCUACGUGACACAGGGGACCAUCAACACUGUGCUUCAAAGUCAUCCUCGUCAUCUUGGAUCGGAAUAGAUAUUGGGGACUUUUUUGAGCAUAAUGACAGGGGAAAAACUUAUGCGGGGAGCAAGAGCCAAGGUAAUCGGCGCUCUCAAAAGAGGAUGAUGAUUAAAUCGGCAAGAAAUUAGAGUGAGAACAGCGGGCUUCGCGGUGAUUGAAUGGAGAUUAGGUGCAGAGGAGAAUUUUCUUCUCUUUUUAUGGUGUGUACUGAGAGAAAUUUUGUUUGAGUGGAGAAGAAGAAAGAGAACGCGAUGGGAUUACUCCAGCGAAAAUACCUCACCGUUUUUAAGCUCCGACGACCGCCUGCUGCUUGGUUAGUGGUGGAGCAAUAGGGUCAAUUCAACAGCGUGAGUUGUGCACAAUUUUGGAGAGGAAAUGAAGUUAGGUUUUUUUGGGCUUGCUGCCUCUCACCUCAACGGGGCUAGUGUGUGGAAUUUGUAAAAACUGACCGGGAUAUAUUUGUCCAACAACUUGCAGCAUUGGGGUCAAAUGAAUCCUCUCUCCAAUUCUGCAAAUCAUUUCGGGUUUACCAAACAAACACAAAUAAAUACAUUCCAAAAUUAUUUCCUUCCAAAUCAAUUAGUCAUAACCGAACACGCCGUUAUCAUUAUUAUGAGUAUCAGUUUGUAGAUUAUUUCGUA
Molecule: long non-coding RNA, 761 nt
Organism: Salvia splendens (bonfire salvia)
Lineage: Eukaryota; Viridiplantae; Streptophyta; Magnoliopsida; Lamiales; Lamiaceae
Exons: 2
Source: RefSeq, a predicted model, not a curated record